This 72-nucleotide transfer RNA is filed under the name Phrynosoma platyrhinos (Desert horned lizard). Its description in RNAcentral is "tRNA-OTHER". Lineage: Eukaryota; Metazoa; Chordata; Lepidosauria; Squamata; Phrynosomatidae. The record is from RNAcentral.
AGCUGCCUGAUGUAGUGGUUGGAGCACUGGACUGUGACUCUGGAGACCAGGGUUCGAAUCCUUGCUCAGCCA